UGUGUAUAGUUUUGGAGUUGUUCUAAUGGAAUUGAUUACUGGAAAGAAGCCAGUGGAGCCAGAAUUUGGAGACAACAAGAACAUUGUUUAUUGGGUAUCAACAAAAGUGGAGACUAAAGAAGGUGCAUUUGAAGUAUUGGAUAAAAAAGUCUCAGAUUCUUUCAAAGAGGACAUGAUUAAGGUUCUACGUAUAGCUAUACGUUGUACGUAUAGUACACCAACA
This 223-nucleotide unclassified non-coding RNA is filed under the name Hevea brasiliensis (rubber tree). The record is from RNAcentral. Lineage: Eukaryota; Viridiplantae; Streptophyta; Magnoliopsida; Malpighiales; Euphorbiaceae.